This 354-nucleotide non-coding RNA is filed under the name Trichomonas vaginalis G3. RNAcentral's name for it is "Eukaryotic small subunit ribosomal RNA". It matches the Rfam family "Eukaryotic small subunit ribosomal RNA", at positions 1450 to 1831 of the family's 1831-position model. The record is from Rfam by way of RNAcentral. Lineage: Eukaryota; Parabasalia; Trichomonadida; Trichomonadidae.
CCAAUAACAGGUCCGUGAUGCCCUUUAGAUGCUCUGGGCUGCACGCGGUGCUACAAUGUUAGGAUCAAUAGGACUGCGAGCCUGAGAGGGUGCGCUACUCUUAUAAUCCCUAACGUAGUUGGGAUUGACGUUUGUAAUCAGCGUCAUGAACCAGGAAUCCCUUGUAAAUGUGUGUCAACAACGCACGUUGAAUACGUCCCUGCCCUUUGUACACACCGCCCGUCGCUCCUACCGAUUGGAUGACUCGGUGAAAUCACCGGAUGCUUACGAGCAGAAAGUGAUUAAAUCACGUUAUCUAGAGGAAGGAGAAGUCGUAACAAGGUAACGGUAGGUGAACCUGCCGUUGGAUCAGUU